GACGAACGCUGGCGGCAUGCCUAAUACAUGCAAGUCGAGCGAACAGAUGAAGUGCUUGCACUUCUGACGUUAGCGGCGAACGGGUGAGUAACACGUAAGGAAUCUACCUAUAAGCGGGGGAUAACAUUCGGAAACGGGUGCUAAUACCGCAUAAUAUCUUCUUCCGCAUGGAAGAAGAUUGAAAGGUGGGUCUGCUGUCACUUAUAGAUGACCUUGCGGUGUAUUAGUUAGUUGGUGGGGUAAUGGCCUACCAAGACGAUGAUGCAUCGCCGACCUGAGAGGGUGAUCGGCCACAUUGGGACUGAGACACGGCCCAAACUCCUACGGGAGGCAGCAGUAGGGAAUCUUCCGCAAUGGGCGAAAGUCUGACGGAGCAAUGCCGCGUGAGUGAAGAAGGCCUUCGGGUCGUAAAACUCUGUUAUAAGAGAAGAACAAAUUGUAGAGUAACUGCUACAGUCUUGACGGUAUCUUAUCAGAAAGCCACGGCUAACUACGUGCCAGCCGCCGCCGUAA
Molecule: ribosomal RNA, 513 nt
Filed under: uncultured bacterium
Lineage: Bacteria
Description: partial 16S ribosomal RNA
Rfam family: Bacterial small subunit ribosomal RNA
Source: RNAcentral